AUGAACGCUGGCGGCGUGCUUAACACAUGCCAGUCGAACGGAAAGGCCCAAGCUUGCUUGGGUACUCGAGUGGCGAACGGGUGAGUAACACGUGGGUGAUCUGCCCUGCACUUCGGGAUAAGCCUGGGAAACUGGGUCUAAUACCGGAUAGGGCCACAUUUUGGAUGGUGUGGUGGAAAGUUUUUCGGUGUGGGAUGAGCUCGCGGCCUAUCAGCUUGUUGGUGGGGUAAUGGCCUACCAAGGCGUCGACGGGUAGCCGGCCUGAGAGGGUGUACGGCCACAUUAGGACUGAGAUACGGCCCAGACUCCUACGGGAGGCAGCAGUGGGGAAUAUUGCACAAUGGGCGCAAGCCUGAUGCAGCGACGCCGCGUGGGGGAUGACGGCCUUCGGGUUGUAAACUCCUUUCGCUAGGGACGAAGCGUUUUUGUGACGGUACCUGGAGAAGAAGCACCGGCUAACUACGUG
RNAcentral lists this ribosomal RNA (466 nucleotides) under uncultured bacterium. RNAcentral describes it as "partial 16S ribosomal RNA". It matches the Rfam family "Bacterial small subunit ribosomal RNA", at positions 29 to 507 of the family's 1533-position model. The record is from RNAcentral.